AAUCUUUCAAAUGUCUGCCCUAUCAACUGACGAUGGUACGAGCUAUGCCAACCAUGGUGUUAACGGGUAACGGGGAAUCAGGGUUCGAUUCCGGAGAGGGAGCAUGAGAUACGGCUACCACAUCCAAGGAAGGCAGCAGGCGCGCAAAUUACCCACUCCCGACACGGGGAGGUAGUGACGAAAAAUAACAAUACGGGACUCAUUCGAGGCCCCGUAAUUGGAAUGAGUACACUUUAAAUCCUUUAACGAGGAUCCAUUGGAGGGCAAUCUGGUGCCAGCACCGCGGUAAUUCCAGCUCAAUAGCGUAUAUUAAAGUUGCUGCAGUUAAAAAGCUCGUAGUUGGAUCUUGGCCCAGGCUUGUGGUCCGUCUCGCGGCGGUCUCUGCUCCUCGUCCUGGCCCCCACGCCGGCGUAGGGUCCCUUGGUACUCUUGACUUAUUGUCUCGGGCGGCCGGAACGUUUACUUUGAAGAAAUUAGAGUGCUCAAAGCAGGCCUUUGCCGCCUGUAUAAUGGUGCAUGGAAUAAUGGAAUAGGAUCUCGGUUCUUUUUGGUUGGUUUUCGGAGCUCGAGAUAAUGAUUAAUAGGGACUG
RNAcentral lists this ribosomal RNA (590 nucleotides) under Parreysia corrugata. Its description in RNAcentral is "SSU rRNA". It matches the Rfam family "Eukaryotic small subunit ribosomal RNA", at positions 293 to 881 of the family's 1831-position model. Lineage: Eukaryota; Metazoa; Mollusca; Bivalvia; Unionida; Unionidae. The record is from RNAcentral.